Molecule: transfer RNA, 100 nt
Filed under: Dierogekko inexpectatus
Lineage: Eukaryota; Metazoa; Chordata; Lepidosauria; Squamata; Diplodactylidae
Description: tRNA-Asx
Source: RNAcentral
GCCUCGAUCCCGUAAACCUUUAGUUAACAACUAAAAACCCAAACCAGCGGGCUUCAAUCUACUUCUCCCGUUAUAAAAAAACCGGGAGAAGCCCCGGCAC